GACGAACGCUGGCGGCGUGCUUAACACAUGCAAGUCGAACGGAAAGGUCUCUUUCGGUGUCUUCUCGAGUGGCGAACGGUUGAGUAACACGUGAGUAACCUGUCCUUCACUUUUGGAUAACUUUCGAGAACUGGGUCAAAUUCCGUAAAGAAUCUCCUUCUGCCCUGAGGUAUCUGGACAGCUUCGGUGGUUGGGGAUGGAUUCGCUGCCUUUCAGCUUGUUGGUGGGGUAGUGGCUUACCAAGGCUUUUACGGGUAGCCGGCCUGCGAGGGUGAUCGGCCACAUUGGGACUGAGAUACGGCCCAGACUCCUACGGGAGGCAGCAGUGGAGAAGAUUGCACAAUGGGUGGAAGCCUGAUGCAGCAACGCCGUGUGCGGGAUGACGGCCUUCGGGUUGUAAACCGCUUUCGCUCAUGACGAAGCUUUGUGUGACGGUAGUGGGUAAAGAAGCACCGGCUAACUACGUG
Molecule: ribosomal RNA, 467 nt
Filed under: uncultured bacterium
Lineage: Bacteria
Description: partial 16S ribosomal RNA
Rfam family: Bacterial small subunit ribosomal RNA
Source: RNAcentral